RNAcentral lists this long non-coding RNA (1098 nucleotides) under Felis catus (domestic cat). RNAcentral's name for it is "lncRNA (ENSFCAG00000045495.2)". The record is from RNAcentral. Lineage: Eukaryota; Metazoa; Chordata; Mammalia; Carnivora; Felidae.
GCUCUUUUAAAUUUUGCCUUUUUUUUUUUUCAGUUGAGAAGGAUGUGUCAAGAAAAAUCUCUUUCUAUACUCUGGCCUCCAGAGAAAGGGGAAAAAUACUUUUCUUAAACCUGUCUGGAUUUCUACGUAUCAGCACGUUGGUGAUUGGCUGUAGCUAAUCCAGUGCUAGAGCUUGCUACCCUUCAACCCACAACCAUCCUUGGAAAUCGGAUCUUUUCUAAAAUAUCAUGCCAUAAUCAACAUCUUAUCAGGAUCCAGGACUCUGUCUUUCCUUCUGUCAAGAUCUUAUAGGAGUAUAAAUAUUUUCUCAUUGAACCAAUCCAUCACAGAAGAACUGGUACCUCCAAAGAUAGGAAGAACUGAAAGAAGGAAAGGAGGAGGGAAGAAAGUGGAGAGGAGAAGACAGAAGAGGAGGAAAAAGAGAGAAAAAGGAGGUAGGAAAAAAGGAAGGGAAGGAGGCACGGAAGAGAAGGAAAGGAAAAGAGAAAGAAGAGAAGGAAAGAAUAAAAGAAAGAAAGAGAGUCUACAAACUAAGGAGGGUUUUGUGGGAGAAAACGCUAGGGAAAACAAUGCUAGCUUGCCUUUAAUUAGUGUGAAAAAAAAAGACAAAGUGAACAUUUUUUCCCUUUUUGAAAAAAGAAGGCACUACCGUUUGAAAUGGUAACUGUUUACAAGACAAACUAAGUUACAUGUGAACAACACUAUCAGCGUUCCAACACCCAAUCUUGCACCAUAUUGUGUAUCCACUUAAGAAAAACUGGCUCCAAUUAGGGAUCUCCUGUCGAGCAUCUUAUUUAUCUGCUUCCAGAACAGCUGUGAGCCAUUCAGGAUGCCACCAGUUUUUCCUCAUUACACUCUCCUUAGAAUUACAGAUGUGCCUGGCUCAUCCCCAGGGAGCCACAUUCUAGUAAACACAUCCUUCCUAUGUUUCGGGGGCUUCUCUGAAAUAAGCUUGUGAACACAGGCUGACAUGGUCAGUUGAAGUUGGCUUAAGAGACUUAAGGCUGCAAAUACCCCCUGUAAUUUCUUGGGAAAGGAGAGCUGGAUAAUGAAAAGGAUUUAGGGUGUGUGGGGGAAAGGGAGGGAGCUGGUCAAAAU